RNAcentral lists this ribosomal RNA (254 nucleotides) under uncultured microorganism. Its description in RNAcentral is "partial 16S ribosomal RNA". It matches the Rfam family "Archaeal small subunit ribosomal RNA", at positions 474 to 727 of the family's 1478-position model. The record is from RNAcentral.
CACCGGCGGCUCGAGUGGUGGCCACUUUUAUUGGGUCUAAAGCGUCCGUAGCCGGCUUGGCAAGUCCCCUGGGAAAUCUGGCGGCUUAACCGUCAGGCGUCCAGAGGAUACUGCCAGGCUUGGGACCGGGAGAGGUGAGAGGUACCUCAGGGGUAGGGGUGAAAUCUCGUGAUCCCUGAGGGACCACCAGUGGCGAAGGCGUCUCACUAGAACGGGUCCGACGGUCAGGGACGAAAGCUGGGGGCACGAACCGG